GUGACCACGCGAAGUGAAAAGUCUGUUGCGAAAGCAAGCUAACCUGGAGGCUACGGCGAGCAAUUUUGAAUUUUACUACCGGGAAGCUACCGCAUACGAUUUGCAAUUUUGAAUCCUACUUCUACCGGUUGACUGAAGUGCUUUCAAUUUUGCCACCUUAGAACUUUAGUUUCCUCAUCUGAAAAGAAGGGAUAAUCACCUAUCUAGAAUUCACGGUGUUAAUCGGAUGCACAUCCUUUUCUAAUUGUAUAUUUUCCAAAUACUUUUUAAUACAUUUUAACCACCACCACUGCCCUCACCGCCUCCACCCGCACCACUGAAAAGCAUGUCUACGGAUUUGCGAGACGCACUGAGUAGAGGCUCUUGCCGCCAAAUCUGACCACCCAAGUUCGAUUCCCCAUACACAAGGUCAUGGAUGGAAGAAGACUGAUUCCUGCAAGUUGUCCUUUGAUCCCCAACAUGCGCACUUGUCACGCGCCCCCUCCCCCAAAUAAAUAAAU
RNAcentral lists this long non-coding RNA (500 nucleotides) under Mus musculus (house mouse). Its description in RNAcentral is "long non-coding RNA chrX:8252763-8253263". Lineage: Eukaryota; Metazoa; Chordata; Mammalia; Rodentia; Muridae. The record is from RNAcentral.